ACCGGCGCACGGGUGCGGAACGCGUAUGGAACCUGCCCCUGUCAGGGGAAUAGCCCAGAGAAAUUUGGAUUAAUGCCCCAUGGUAUCGGAUUACCGCAUGGUAAUUUGAUUAAAGAUUUAUCGGACAGGGAUGGCCAUGCGUACCAUUAGCUAGUUGGUGAGGUAACGGCUCACCAAUGCAACGAUGGUUAGGGGCCCUGAGAGGGGGAUCCCCCACACUGGUACUGAGACACGGACCAGACUCCUACGGGAGGCAGCAGUGAGGAAUAUUGGACAAUGGCCGGAAGGUUGAUCCAGCCAUGCCGCGUGCAGGAUGACGGCCCUAUGGGUUGUAAACUGCUUUUACACGGGAAGAAACCUCCCCUCGUGAGGGGAGCUGACGGUACCGUGAGAAUAAGGACCGGCUAACUCCGUGCCAGCAGCCGCGGUAAUACGGAGGGUCCGAGCGUUAUCCGGAAUCAUUGGGUUUAAAGGGUCCGUAGGCGGGCCUGUAAGUCAGGGGUGAAAGGCCACGGCUCAACCGUGGGACUGCCCUUGAUACUGCAGGUCUUGAGUUAUAGUGGGGUUGCCGGAACAUGUGGUGUAGCGGUGAAAUGCAUAGAUAUCACAUAGAACACCGAUCGCGAAGGCAGGUGACCCACUAUAUACUGA
This 651-nucleotide ribosomal RNA is filed under the name uncultured bacterium. RNAcentral's name for it is "bacterial SSU rRNA". It matches the Rfam family "Bacterial small subunit ribosomal RNA", at positions 94 to 743 of the family's 1533-position model. The record is from RNAcentral.